This 322-nucleotide ribosomal RNA is filed under the name uncultured Acholeplasma sp. Its description in RNAcentral is "bacterial SSU rRNA". It matches the Rfam family "Bacterial small subunit ribosomal RNA", at positions 1058 to 1382 of the family's 1533-position model. The record is from RNAcentral. Lineage: Bacteria; Bacillati; Mycoplasmatota; Mollicutes; Acholeplasmatales; Acholeplasmataceae.
GCUCGUGUCGUGAGAUGUGGGUUAAGUCCGCAACGAGCGCAACCCUACUUGCUAGUUACCAUCAUUAAGUUGGGGACGUCUAGCGAGACUGCCAGUGAUAAACUGGAGGAAGGUGGGGAUGACGUCAAAUCAUCAUGCCCCUUAUGACCUGGGCUACAAACGUGAUACAAUGGCUGGAACAAAGGGAUGCGAAGCAGUGAUGUGGAGCGAAACCCAUAAAAACAGUCUCAGUUCGGAUUGAAGUCUGCAACUCGACUUCAUGAAGUCGGAAUCGCUAGUAAUCGCGGAUCAGAACGCCGCGGUGAAUACGUUCUCGGGGUUU